This 809-nucleotide ribosomal RNA is filed under the name uncultured bacterium. RNAcentral describes it as "bacterial SSU rRNA". It matches the Rfam family "Bacterial small subunit ribosomal RNA", at positions 584 to 1393 of the family's 1533-position model. The record is from RNAcentral.
UAAGUNUGAUGUGAAAGCCCCCGGCUCAACCGGGGAGGGUCAUUGGAAACUGGGGAACUUGAGUGCAGAAGAGGAGAGUGGAAUUCCAUGUGUAGCGAUGAAAUGCGUAGAUAUAUGGAGGAACACCAGUGGCGAAGGCGACUCUCUGGUCUGUAACUGACGCUGAGGCUCGAAAGCGUGGGUAGCAAACAGGAUUAGAUACCCUGGUAGUNCACGCCGUAAACGAUGAGUGCUAAGUGUUGGAGGGUUUCCGCCCUUCAGUGCUGCAGUUAACGCAUUAAGCACUCCGCCUGGGGAGUACGACCGCAAGGUUGAAACUCAAAGGAAUUGACGGGGACCCGCACAAGCGGUGGAGCAUGUGGCUUAAUUCGAAGCAACGCGAAGAACCUUACCAAGUCUUGACAUCCUUUGACCACUCUAGAGAUAGAGCUUUCCCUUCGGGGACAAAGUGACAGGUGGUGCAUGGUUGUCGUCAGCUCGUGUCGUGAGAUGUUGGGUUAAGUCCCGCAACGAGCGCAACCCUUAUUACUAGUUGCCAGCAUUCAGUUGGGCACUCUAGUGAGACUGCCGGUGACAAACCGGAGGAAGGUGGGGAUGACGUCAAAUCAUCAUGCCCCUUAUGACUUGGGCUACUCACGUGCUACAAUGGAUGGUACAACGAGCAGCGAACUCGCGAGGGUAAGCGAAUCUCUUAAAGCCAUUCUCAGUUCGGAUUGUAGGCUGCAACUCGCCUACAUGAAGCCGGAAUCGCUAGUAAUCGCGGAUCAGCACGCCGCGGUGAAUACGUUCCCGGGUCUUGUACACACCGC